Acanthosepion pharaonis is the source of this 114-nucleotide non-coding RNA. Lineage: Eukaryota; Metazoa; Mollusca; Cephalopoda; Sepiida; Sepiidae. The record is from the annotation of a GenBank genome assembly.
UUACGGCCAUAUCACGUUGAAACACCAGUUCUCAUACGAUCACCGAAGUUAAGAAACGUCGAGAUUGGUCAGUACUUAGAUGGGUGACCGUUUGGGAAUAGAAGGGGCUGUAAG